This 373-nucleotide ribosomal RNA is filed under the name uncultured organism. RNAcentral describes it as "partial 16S ribosomal RNA". It matches the Rfam family "Bacterial small subunit ribosomal RNA", at positions 527 to 896 of the family's 1533-position model. The record is from RNAcentral.
GUAGGUGGCAAGCGUUGUCCGGAAUUAUUGGGCGUAAAGCGCGCGCAGGCGGUUCUUUAAGUCUGAUGUGAAAGCCCACGGCUCAACCGUGGAGGGUCAUUGGAAACUGGAGAACUUGAGUACAGAAGAGGAAAGCGGAAUUCCACGUGUAGCGGUGAAAUGCGUAGAGAUGUGGAGGAACACCAGUGGCGAAGGCGGCUUUCUGGUCCGUAACUGACGCUGAGGCGCGAAAGCGUGGGGAGCAAACAGGGAUUAGAUACCCUGGUAGUCCACGCCGUAAACGAUGAGUGCUAAGUGUUAGGGGGUUUCCCGCCCCUUAGUGCUGCAGCUAACGCAUUAAGCACUCCGCCUGGGGAGUACGGCCGCAGGGCUG